UUGGUUUACACCAGGGCUGAGCAGAAGCAUAGGAGGCAUGUGGCCAGAACAAAGGCUGCCCACCCAAUCUUCACCCCUCACCUUUGUCCACAAGCUUUCCCAGAACAGAUGGUAGUUUGGGAUCUUCUGGCCUUGAAUUAAUGGCAAUGGAAUUCACCUGACAAGAAGAAAAGACUGACUUCAAAGAAAUAUUGGACGCAAACUUGGCUGAACAUUAAAGAGCUGCAAGGCAAAAGAAAACCCGGGAAAUGUUUUUACUUCGGUUGCCAGUGGUCUGUGAAUAGCAUCGCCAG
Pogona vitticeps (central bearded dragon) is the source of this 293-nucleotide non-coding RNA. NCBI's taxonomy places the organism in Eukaryota, Metazoa, Chordata, Lepidosauria, Squamata, Agamidae. The record is from RefSeq and is a predicted model, not a curated record.